RNAcentral lists this long non-coding RNA (388 nucleotides) under Crocodylus porosus (Australian saltwater crocodile). RNAcentral describes it as "lncRNA (ENSCPRG00005018620.1)". Lineage: Eukaryota; Metazoa; Chordata; Crocodylia; Crocodylidae. The record is from RNAcentral.
GGGAAUUUCCCUUUUCUCUUUAAGUAAGCUGCAUUGUAGCAAGAUGUUAGAGGAAUGCAGACAUUUUUAGAGUAAAUUGCCUCUGAGCAGCAUCCAGUUUUCUCCAUGUGUAGCUCAAAAUCAUCUUUGGGGUAGCUUCUGUAUCAUUCUUAGUCUGUGGAGUAUCCAAGCUCAGUCCAGCCUAAGUAUUCAUUAUUUGAAAGCUGAGCUCAGUGGACAGGUUUUAUUUGGACACCCAGGUCACAAGAUAUUCCUGUUUCCUAAUUUGGCAGGUUCACAUGAUGCAAAUCCAGACCAGGCUUGCUGAAAAUUUGUGCUAAAACCUGAUGUGGAAGCAGGAUCCAUCACAGGGACUCAGCCUCUCUGCACCACACUGUGUAUUAUGCAG